This is a transfer RNA of 96 nucleotides. It matches the Rfam family "tRNA". From Rfam's summary of the family: Transfer RNA (tRNA) molecules are approximately 80 nucleotides in length. Their secondary structure includes four short double-helical elements and three loops (D, anti-codon, and T loops). The record is from Rfam.
ACACCGUUGGUGAAGUGGUUAUCAUGCUUGCCUUCCAUGCGGACGCCACACCACACACGUGAGCAAGCGGCUCGGGUUCGAUUCCCGAACGGUGUA